This 512-nucleotide ribosomal RNA is filed under the name uncultured Chrysochromulina. Its description in RNAcentral is "bacterial SSU rRNA". It matches the Rfam family "Bacterial small subunit ribosomal RNA", at positions 93 to 638 of the family's 1533-position model. The record is from RNAcentral. Lineage: Eukaryota; Haptophyta; Prymnesiales; Chrysochromulinaceae.
UAGUGGCGAACGGGUGCGUAAUACGUGAGAAUCUGCCCUUAGGAGGAGUAUAACUGUUGGAAACGACUGCUAACACUCCAUAUGUCGAGAGAUGAAAUAAUUUAUUGCCUAAGGAUGAGCUCGCGCCUGAUUAGCUAGUUGGUGAGGUAAUGGCUCACCAAGGCCACGAUCAGUAGCUGGUUUGAGAGAACGAUCAGCCACACUGGGACUGAGACACGGCCCAGACUCCUCCGGGAGGCAGCAGUGAGGAAUUUUCCGCAAUGGGCGAAAGCCUGACGGAGCAAUACCGCGUGAGGGAUGAAGGAUUUUGGUCUGUAAACCUCUUUUCUCAAGAAAGAAGUUCUGACGGUACUUGAGGAAUAAGCAUCGGCUAACUCCGUGCCAGCAGCCGCGGUAAUACGGGGGAUGCAAGCGUUAUCCGGAAUCAUUGGGCGUAAAGCGCCUGUAGGUUGUUUAAUAAGUCUGUUGUUAAAGACUAGGGCUCAACCCUAGGAAAGCAAUGGAAACUACUA